GACGAACGCUGGCGGCGUGCUUAACACAUGCAAGUCGAACGAUGAAGGGGAGCUUGCUCUCCGGAUUAGUGGCGAACGGGUGAGUAACACGUGACUAACCUGCCCCUUUCUCUGGGAUAACGCUCCGAAAGGAGUGCUAAUACCGGAUACGAACUCUGAACACAUGUUCGGAGUUGGAAAGUUUUUCGGAAAGGGAUGGAGUCGCGGCCUAUCAGCUUGUUGGUGAGGUAACGGCUCACCAAGGCGACGACGGGUAGCCGGCCUGAGAGGGCGACCGGCCACACUGGGACUGAGACACGGCCCAGACUCCUACGGGAGGCAGCAGUGGGGAAUAUUGCACAAUGGGCGAAAGCCUGAUGCAGCGACGCCGCGUGAGGGAUGAAGGUCUUCGGAUUGUAACCUCUUUCAGUAGGGACGAAGCGAAAGUGACGGUACCUAAAGAAGAAGCACCGGCUAACUACGUGCCAGCAGCCGCCGUAA
RNAcentral lists this ribosomal RNA (480 nucleotides) under uncultured bacterium. RNAcentral's name for it is "partial 16S ribosomal RNA". It matches the Rfam family "Bacterial small subunit ribosomal RNA", at positions 28 to 523 of the family's 1533-position model. The record is from RNAcentral.